AUAUCACUCUCUUAGUCAUCUUCACAGGUUUUGCGAUGGGUAACUACGCUCUUGCUAAUGAAUUGAAUAAAUUUUACAUUUAAGAAAAUCAAACCAUUUGCAGAAGUCGAAGGGAAUCCGUUGGGUUUACCCAGGAGCGAAUCACUGAUUGAAAUAGGGGACACAACCGAUUACGUACGAGAGGUGCGUUUCUUCCAUCACAUUAAGAACUUUUUGGAAGGAUUUUUUGGUUAAUUGUCUACUGGGCGAGCCAAACUCAUUUCCAACGAAUUUCUGCCUGCCACGUCAAGCAAGCAACGAAUGUUUUCGAUCAGACUCAUUGUUCAUCAGAAGAAACCAAACUGUCAGCCUACAAUUAAACAGUUGAAGUUGAAUUUUGCAUCAAAACCGCCAAACUAGUGAGAAUAUUCGACAGCAAUCAUGUAGAAAACUAUAUCAAAGCCUUGUCAGUUGCCACAUCCUUUUGAGUUGCAUGUCUUGACUUUUUCUGGUUCUCCAUUAUACAUAUAAAAACACAGAAAAAAAAAAAAAAAAACAACCAAAAAACAAAUUAGAAUGUAAACUUCUGGCUAUCAAAUACCACAAUUUCCUUUGCUUGAUAUAAUUUUUUACAGAAAACCAUUAAUGCAACAUCCUUCACCAAACCCAAUAUACAGUUGACAUCCAGCAUACACCAAACAGACUCGUCUGAAACUUGUCAGUGUUAAGACUUCACAAAAAAAUGGCAUUUAGAAACAAUCUCGCUUGGCUUCUUGUUUUAAGCGUCGCUCUCCUACUCGUUGCAGGAGUCUUGACAAACCCAAUAGAUACUAUCGAAGGCGAUGAAUCAGACUUAAAUCAAGAUUGGAACCCCGUGAAUUUUAACGAUGAAAGGGAGGAACGUAAAUGGUGGAAGAAAGUGUUUAAGCACGGCAAGAACUUUAUAUCCGGAUUUUUCGGUUAAUUACGAAGGCAUUUCAUGACUUAGACAAGCUUCCACCACAUUUAUUAUUAUACUUGCUUCAUGUGCUCACUUUAUCAGCGUAUCAAUACAACAAGCACAAAUAA
Molecule: long non-coding RNA, 1047 nt
Organism: Daphnia magna
Lineage: Eukaryota; Metazoa; Arthropoda; Branchiopoda; Diplostraca; Daphniidae
Exons: 4
Source: RefSeq, a predicted model, not a curated record